This 2398-nucleotide long non-coding RNA is filed under the name Phaseolus vulgaris (common bean). Its description in RNAcentral is "long non-coding RNA (PVUL_LNC002626)". The record is from RNAcentral. Lineage: Eukaryota; Viridiplantae; Streptophyta; Magnoliopsida; Fabales; Fabaceae.
CUUUUGUAGUAACUGUUGUUGUAGAAACUGUGAAGAAAAGUCUUUUUUUUUUCAUUGUUGAAAUAUUGAGAAGGUGAGAAGCAGGGAAGAAAUUCCAGCUGUGAAAUGAGAAAAGGACACAGUUCCAGAGAGAUGAGGGGGACAGUGUGGUUCUGAACCCACCAACACCAACAACAGUAUCCUAGGAUAUCACCCCAUUUUCUAUCUAUUUUCACAAAAAUUAAAUCCUACAUUUCUUCCAUGGCUUGUCAGGUUCCACAACAUCAUCAAUAUAAUAAAAUUCAUAAGAUGCCAAUUUACAAACACUAUCUUUCUGCCAGAUUUUCAUUUUUAUCAAUGAAUUAGAUUUACAUUGGAUUCACACAUCAUUACCCCAUUGGAUUUACAUUUCAAAGUGGAAAUGAAAAAGUCGCAUGAAAACGAAAAAAAAUUCCAACUUCACAUUUGCAAGAGACAAAUUCACUAAAGAGGUACCAUCAAGCUAGUAGCCAUUUUUCAAUUAAGCUGACACAUGUAUUAAAAAUAUGGAGCUAUAGCUAGCAUGUUCAAUUAAGCUGACAGUAAUAUUAUUCAUAUAUCACUCAUAUUUUAUAUUUUUGUAAGGAAGAAGGAUAGAGAAAAAAAAAACACAUUCUUCCUUUCUAUUUUCUCUGUCAUGAACAUUAUUCUGUGUGUGAUAAUAAGCAUAAAAGUGAGGAAACUGAAACUCACUCUGCCAUGCCACCAAUUGAAACUCACUCUACCAUGCCACCGCUCUCUCAAAUUCCACCUUCUUCUUUUCUUCACCCUUUAACCAUUGCAAAAUGCUGGUUUUCCAAAGAAGUUCUGAUUCACAAAAUGAUUCAGAUUAGUGCAUAACAUACAAUAACCGCCUUACACACUAUAUUGAUAGCUUAUAUUAAAAGAGUAGGGAUAUGAAUUUGUCUCACUUGUGGCCAAUCAAUUAAUCUGUCAUUACCAUGACAUUCCUUAAGCACCAGAAUACACUUGAUGGACCUUCACUAGGAGCACCAUCCAGCAGCCACCUGUAACAGAGCCGCAUGUAAAGCAUAAAGUUAAAAAUGAUAUAAGGCAUGAAGUUACACCGCAUGUAACAGAACCGAUCCUAGUCACCUGCUGGCCACCCAAGAACCAAACCUUAGCUCCAUCCAAAUGGCUCAAAAGAGCACAUCAUCAGCCUCAACCACUUAGCUUGGUUACCACAUAACAGAAUUGCUUCCUACACUUGGCUAGGCAACUAAUAGAUUACCACAGGGACGCUGCUCUAGAAUCAGAAAAAAGAUCCUCCCUAUGGUACAUGCAUUAUCAUGUACCAUCUGAAACACUAGGACAUGUGGUAGCACCACUCCUCAACCAUUACGUACCUUAUCAUGCCACGCGACUUCUUAAAUCCAAAAUUAUAUCCAAGGACUACGAUUGUAUGUAAAUACAAUUUAGUCAAAACUUUCUAGUGGUUGUGAAGGAGGAUAAUGAAUACAACGCUUCUCUUUUGACCAAUCAUUCUUUAUCAUAUAAAGUGGUAAGCACAAAUCAAAAUGACAGUAACCAAAGUAACAGUUUUAAAAAUCACUUCUUACAAUAAUUAAGAAAUAAUCUUUAUAUCUUUUUGUUGGUUAGUAAUAUAACAUUUUACAAUGAUAAUGGAUGUUUAUCAAAGUUACCUAAUCGUGGAACUUAUCAUCAGUACCAUUCAAGGGGAAGUUAAUUUAUGUUUAACCACUUGACCGAUGCAUGAACUACAAUAACAGCUGAGAGAAAAUACUUAAGGGCUGGAGCUGUAGCAAGUAAUGGAAAAGGUCGGCAUCCAGAACCAGAACUGUAAAUUGAAUAAAAAAAUGUCAAUGACUUGUUCAAAAAACGAGGUUUCGAUGAAGAGUUUCUUGGCUCCAGGCCCCGUAAACCCCACAUUGGACUCAACUCCAUGCCUUUCAAUUGAAUCCGAACAGAGUACAUGCACAAAUUCCACAGAAUCUUUUGUUUAACAAUAUCUUUUGUGGCUCAUAGAUGAAAGAAGAUCCGGUAGCAUACAUUUAAGGUUUUCAUAGCACGGGGAAGUAAAAUUAACAAAGUUGUAUUGUCAAGGGACUACCUGAAUCAGUGAUUUGUUUUCGAAUGCUGCUUAAUCCACUUAGAAGCUAGUUGAUGCAAGUUCUUCUCUGACCCUAAACUUCUUCUCUCGGCAACAAAUUCCUACUAUCACGUUAGGGUUUCGUGAAAGGACAAAGGUGUUAGGGUUUCAUGUAAGUGUGAAGCUAGAUGGAAGUGUUUCAUUUCGUGUGAAGCAGAGAAAGAAAUGUUAGGUUUCGUUUUGUGUGAAGAGGCUUAGGGGUCUGGUGCAGAGAGAGAGAAGAAACGUUAGGGUGUGGAGCAGAGAGAGGGAAGAGGUGUUAGGGCUUGG